CCUACGGGAGGCAGCAGUGGGGAAUUUUGGACAAUGGGCGCAAGCCUGAUCCAGCAAUGCCGCGUGAGUGAAGAAGGCCUUCGGGUUGUAAAGCUCUUUUGUCAGGGAAGAAACGGUGGGGACUAAUACUUCCUGCUAAUGACGGUACCUGAAGAAUAAGCACCGGCUAACUACGUGCCAGCAGCCGCGGUAAUACGUAGGGUGCAAGCGUUAAUCGGAAUUACUGGGCGUAAAGCGUGCGCAGGCGGUUGUGCAAGACAGAUGUGAAAUCCCCGGGCUCAACCUGGGAAUUGCAUUUGUGACUGCACGGCUAGAGUGUGUCAGAGGGGGGUAGAAUUCCACGUGUAGCAGUGAAAUGCGUAGAGAUGUGGAGGAAUACCGAUGGCGAAGGCAGCCCCCUGGGAUAACACUGACGCUCAUGCACGAAAGCGUGGGGAGCAAACAGGAUUAGAUACCCUGGUAGUCCACGCCCUAAACGAUGUCUACUAGUUGUCGGGUCUUAAUUGACUUGGUAACGCAGCUAACGCGUGAAGUAGACCGCCUGGGGAGUACGGUCGCAAGAUUAAAACUUAAAGGAAUUGACGG
This 585-nucleotide ribosomal RNA is filed under the name uncultured bacterium. RNAcentral describes it as "bacterial SSU rRNA". It matches the Rfam family "Bacterial small subunit ribosomal RNA", at positions 338 to 916 of the family's 1533-position model. The record is from RNAcentral.